Molecule: transfer RNA, 86 nt
Filed under: Armatimonadota bacterium
Lineage: Bacteria; Bacillati; Armatimonadota
Also listed under: 1 other name
Description: Armatimonadetes bacterium (soil metagenome) tRNA-Leu
Rfam family: tRNA
About the family: Transfer RNA (tRNA) molecules are approximately 80 nucleotides in length. Their secondary structure includes four short double-helical elements and three loops (D, anti-codon, and T loops).
Source: RNAcentral
GCCGAAGUGGCGGAAUGGCAGACGCGGCGGUCUCAAAAACCGUUGGGGGCAACCCCGUGCGGGUUCGACUCCCGCCUUCGGCACCA